UAAAUUGAGAGUUUGAUCCUGGCUCAGGACGAACGCUGGCGGCGUGCCUAACACAUGCAAGUCGAGCGGAGAAUGCGGAUAUGUUUACAUAGAAGCGUUCUUAGCGGCGGACGGGUGAGUAACACGUGGGUAACCUGCCUCAAAGUGGGGGAU
RNAcentral lists this non-coding RNA (153 nucleotides) under Proteiniclasticum ruminis. RNAcentral's name for it is "Clostridium sp. D3RC-2 Bacterial small subunit ribosomal RNA". It matches the Rfam family "Bacterial small subunit ribosomal RNA", at positions 1 to 144 of the family's 1533-position model. Lineage: Bacteria; Bacillati; Bacillota; Clostridia; Eubacteriales; Clostridiaceae. The record is from Rfam by way of RNAcentral.